RNAcentral lists this ribosomal RNA (1410 nucleotides) under Salmonella enterica. RNAcentral's name for it is "partial 23S ribosomal RNA". It matches the Rfam family "Bacterial large subunit ribosomal RNA", at positions 921 to 2312 of the family's 2925-position model. The record is from RNAcentral. Lineage: Bacteria; Pseudomonadati; Pseudomonadota; Gammaproteobacteria; Enterobacterales; Enterobacteriaceae.
AGGGGGCCAUCCCGGCUUACCAACCCGAUGCAAACUGCGAAUACCGGAGAAUGUUAUCACGGGAGACACACGGCGGGUGCUAACGUCCGUCGUGAAGAGGGAAACAACCCAGACCGCCAGCUAAGGUCCCAAAGUCAUGGUUAAGUGGGAAACGAUGUGGGAAGGCCCAGACAGCCAGGAUGUUGGCUUAGAAGCAGCCAUCAUUUAAAGAAAGCGUAAUAGCUCACUGGUCGAGUCGGCCUGCGCGGAAGAUGUAACGGGGCUAAACCAUGCACCGAAGCUGCGGCAGCGACACUGUGUGUUGUUGGGUAGGGGAGCGUUCUGUAAGCCUGUGAAGGUGUGUCGUGAGGCAUGCUGGAGGUAUCAGAAGUGCGAAUGCUGACAUAAGUAACGAUAAAGCGGGUGAAAAGCCCGCUCGCCGGAAGACCAAGGGUUCCUGUCCAACGUUAAUCGGGGCAGGGUGAGUCGACCCCUAAGGCGAGGCCGAAAGGCGUAGUCGAUGGGAAACGGGUUAAUAUUCCCGUACUUGGUGUUACUGCGAAGGGGGGACGGAGAAGGCUAUGUUGGCCGGGCGACGGUUGUCCCGGUUUAAGCGUGUAGGUGUGUGUUCCAGGUAAAUCCGGUUCACUUUAACACUGAGGCGUGACGACGAGGCACUACGGUGCUGAAGCAACAAAUGCCCUGCUUCCAGGAAAAGCCUCUAAGCAUCAGGUAACAUCAAAUCGUACCCCAAACCGACACAGGUGGUCAGGUAGAGAAUACCAAGGCGCUUGAGAGAACUCGGGUGAAGGAACUAGGCAAAAUGGUGCCGUAACUUCGGGAGAAGGCACGCUGACACGUAGGUGAAGUGAUUUACUCAUGGAGCUGAAGUCAGUCGAAGAUACCAGCUGGCUGCAACUGUUUAUUAAAAACACAGCACUGUGCAAACACGAAAGUGGACGUAUACGGUGUGACGCCUGCCCGGUGCCGGAAGGUUAAUUGAUGGGGUCAGCGCAAGCGAAGCUCCUGAUCGAAGCCCCGGUAAACGGCGGCCGUAACUAUAACGGUCCUAAGGUAGCGAAAUUCCUUGUCGGGUAAGUUCCGACCUGCACGAAUGGCGUAAUGAUGGCCAGGCUGUCUCCACCCGAGACUCAGUGAAAUUGAACUCGCUGUGAAGAUGCAGUGUACCCGCGGCAAGACGGAAAGACCCCGUGAACCUUUACUAUAGCUUGACACUGAACAUUGAGCCUUGAUGUGUAGGAUAGGUGGGAGGCUUUGAAGUGUGGACGCCAGUCUGCAUGGAGCCGACCUUGAAAUACCACCCUUUAAUGUUUGAUGUUCUAACGUGGACCCGUUACCCGGGUUGCGGACAGUGUCUGGUGGGUAGUUUGACUGGGGCGGUCUCCUCCUAAAGAGUAACGGAGGAGCACG